RNAcentral lists this ribosomal RNA (497 nucleotides) under uncultured bacterium. RNAcentral's name for it is "partial 16S ribosomal RNA". It matches the Rfam family "Bacterial small subunit ribosomal RNA", at positions 28 to 507 of the family's 1533-position model. The record is from RNAcentral.
GAUGAACGCUGGCGGCGUGCCUAAUACAUGCAAGUCGAGCGAACAGACGAGGAGCUUGCUCCUCUGACGUUAGCGGCGGACGGGUGAGUAACACGUGGAUAACCUACCUAUAAGACUGGGAUAACUUCGGGAAACCGGAGCUAAUACCGGAUAAUAUAUUGAACCGCAUGGUUCAAUAGUGAAAGACAGUUUUGCUGUCACUUAUAGAUGGAUCCGCGCCGCAUUAGCUAGUUGGUAAGGUAACGGCUUACCAAGGCGACGAUGCGUAGCCGACCUGAGAGGGUGAUCGGCCACACUGGAACUGAGACACGGUCCAGACUCCUACGGGAGGCAGCAGUAGGGAAUCUUCCGCAAUGGGCGAAAGCUUGACGGAGCAACGCCGCGUGAGUGAUGAAGGUCUUCGGAUCGUAAAACUCUGUUAUUAGGGAAGAACAAAUGUGUAAGUAACUAUGCACGUCUUGACGGUACCUAAUCAGAAAGCCACGGCUAACUACGUG